Molecule: long non-coding RNA, 643 nt
Filed under: Mus musculus (house mouse)
Lineage: Eukaryota; Metazoa; Chordata; Mammalia; Rodentia; Muridae
Description: POU domain, class 3, transcription factor 3 adjacent noncoding transcript 1
Source: RNAcentral
AAUAGACGAGAGAGAACCGGGCUUAGAGGAGUCAGUGUAAAGAGAAGGCUAAGGAUAACUCGGCUCUGGAGAGUAGAGAAUAUGCCUUCUCUUCUGCCCCUCCAGGAACCUUACUUUUUUUUUUUUAAACAAAAAACAAAAACAAAAAACAAAAACCAAAAACCAAAAACCAACCACCACCUUUUAUUUAAAAGUCUAACCUUGGGAAUUUGCUGGGGAGAAGGAACUCAGUGAAUAUUGCCCUGGGUCCUGGUAAUUCCACCUACUGAAGACAACUGCCCCUUCUGCUCAUAUUUCCUGAGUCAACAUGGCCGUUCCUAACUUUGAAGAGACUUUAGACAUUCUUUGUUACAAUGAACCUAGAAGAAAGAAGAGAAAUAAUAACUGCCAUGGAAGGAUGCUCCUCCUGCCAAUUGGCACUUAUCAAUGACAUCGAGGGAGAGGGACAGAGUGCCUAGGUAUGAGCCUUCAUCAAGUGGUAUGAAGGCCCUACCCCAACAGAAAGUGCUGAUGUGAUGAAAUGGUGCUUUGGACAAGACUUUUCCUCCAAGUUGGUCCUAUCCAGGGGUUGGCAAACAGGGUCCCUGGACAUCAUCCAUGUGGCAUACUCUUAUGAAUAAAGUUCUAUAGGACACAGACCUGC